CACAAUGGCUUUUAAUCCAUGCAUGUAUAAUUCAUCGUGUUGAACAAUGUUCUUACUGUGCAGAUUGUGGAUUUAAAAAAAAAAAAAAAUGCUGUGAUUAAAUACGCUUACCUUUGUUUGCGAAGAAUCAACAGGAAAAUUAGAAGCGUGUGGGAGAGAGGCAAAAGAAGAAAACACACAUUAGCAAGUAGGUAGAAAUCAUUCACAUUGCACAAACAGGAAAGCAUAACAGUAUUUUUUUUGCACACUCUUUUCAAACAAGUCUAGGAAAAACAGGGGACAAACCCUGCUUCCUUUCAGAGUACCUUGGGAGGAACAUAUGUUUCCGGGAGCACCAUCAAAUAUGUUUUCAGAGCGGGCCAAACGUUUUUAAUUAGCCAUGGCUCUAUUUGUUUUCAUUUGCGUGAUUUAUCCCCUUUCAUUUGGCAGCUUGCUAACAUGUCCCAGACCAGGGAGACCAACGUUGCUUGGGGUAAAUGGAUACGUACGUCCAGCCCUUGAAAGGACCGAAGUGAGCUCGUGAGUCUUAUUGGAGCGGAGUGGAGGCCACCUGGCGAGUGGAUAUUCACCAGGAAUACCAACGGAUACGCUUGAGUAGGAAUAUUGCGUGCGCCCUGGCGUAUGAUCCUUUGUGUAAACACAUUUCCUUUGAUGCAAAAGCCUCGGGGGAGUGAGAGGUAUGGGGGAGAUGAAAGUAGGAUGUGGCCUUAAGACCUAAAGAUGGCUUAUUAGAUAUUUGGACAAGCGUUUUUGGACUACAUAAAGCUGUCUUUGCCUGAGGGGGAGAGAGUGGCUAGAUGGUUUUCAGGUUCUGUAAUACAAAUGUUUGUAUGGCCAGCAUCACGUCUGAUGAAGAAAAAUCAAUCAUUUGGAUAAUCUGAUUCUUAAACUGGGGAGUAGACAGUCCAUGAACCACAUUUUAGGAGCCUAAAAUAUAUUGUAUCAUUUAAAAAAAAGUGUGUGGCGAUAUACUAAUGUAUUAAAACAAAUAUAGGCCAUCGAUUUGGUCCUAAACUCACUCAGAACUAAAGAUGCAUUAAUAUGUCGUAUGUUUUUUUGAAUUACGCCAUAAAGACCUGAAUUUGUGGUAAUGCAGGCAAAAUAAGCUGGAAUGUGCACUUCUUUUAAGGCAAUAUGUCCCCUGUCUGGCUGCAUUUCAAUGUCUGAGAAAGAACCCAGGAUGGCAAUUUGCUAAAUGUAUCAAGUGCAAAUUUCAAGAGGGUGUGUAUUUACAAAGAACUUUUCCACAUCAGGUUUAAUCCAACAUCUGAAAUCGAAGCACCCAGGUCUCCAUUCAGAAUAUGAAAGCAACAUGGCUCAGACAAGGAAAUUCUCCACAAGCACGUCUGCGCUGUCUCUGCAGGAUGUUUUUGAAAAGGCAAAAACAUUUCCCAAGACAAAAGGCAUUACAUGAAAAAUUCUGGAAUUUAUUGCUUUGGGUGACCGAAUGUUCUUAAUCGUGGAGGACGUGGGAUUUCGUCAGCUAGUCGAGCACAUAGCCCCCCUCCACCCAAGCAGACCCAGUUUAACAGACGUGUGUUUACCAGAGCUGUUUAAUAUUGUUGCAAAUCACGUUCAAUUGACUUUUAACGGCAUAUAUUUCAGCCAUCAUUCACGACCCUCAUUCGGACCUCAUACUAGACAUGUGUUGAUUACCGGUUUCAAGGUAUACCGUGGUAUGAAAGCAUCAAGGUUUCAAAACCACAAAAUAUUUUACAUCAUACCAUCCCUAAGGUAUUACGUCCCAAAAAUGCAUUGAAAAAUCCCUCGCUUGCAGCUGUAAGGCCCAAUCCUCCCCAACCGGUUGUUUUUCAGUGUCAGUGAGAGUCAGCUGUGCUACACGAUUGGCUGGAGGAGCCUUAAUUUUUACCCCCAUCGAAGAAAACGAAAUCCCUGGUAUGGGAAUACUUCGGCUACAGAAAAGUUACAGACGUGUACAUGUUUGUGGAGGGUGGCUGCCGAGGAGGAAAUACCUCCAAAAUGAUUUCGCAUUUAUACAAAAUUAAAGGUUAGUCAACACUGUCAUGAACGAUUCCCACCAGCACGAGAGUUAACUCCUGUGUGUUUAGUGUGUCUAGCGGUGGUAAAACAUGUGGUGUUUUUUUCUCUCUGGCAACUGUCUAUGUUGAGAAAGAGUGCAUAUCAUGUAAACAUGAUACGAGUCAUACACACGUGCUUUUUAUGGAAAAUAAUUCAAUUAUUUUUCUUCUGAUGGUAAUAAUGUUUAGCUGUGGCUGUGGCUCACAUAAAGGACAUCAUUUAUUUUAAUUUUAUUUAGAAUAUAUUGUUAUUUUUUAAAAAUUAUUUUUACUUAACAUUAUACUUAUGUUCCAAUUUGCUAAUACAAUAUGUAUUUUGAAAAAUAAAAAUCCUGUUAAAUUGGAAAAAAGUUUUUUAUUUUAUUUUUUUUAAUUUUUAACCUGGAUAUCUCAAAGUAACACAUUUUAAAGCUGUAAUUGCAAUACCGUCAUACCGUGAAACCGUGAUAUUUUUGGCUUAAGGUUAUCAUACCGUCAGAAAAUUAUACUGGCACAUGCCUAAAAGCCACACCAGUAUGCUUAAUCUAAUGCCACAGUGGAUCGGCACAGAUUUCAAUUUGCAACAUAUUUUGCUAAAUUCACAGUGGUUCAAAGGGUUACAUAAAGUAGUAACAAUUUCUGACGCAUUUGAAAAAAAUGUUGGACAUUUGUGGUAUCGUCGGAUAAAAGGUGCACGCCAUAUUCAAUGACAGUGCAAGAAAUAUGAUAAGAGCUUGGGUGAAAGUUGGCCGGAAGGGUCCGGAAAGCCGUUCCGGUAUAAGAUUCGGGGCUGGAAUGCCCUUCCGGUAUAUAGUGCUUUGAUCCUGAAAAUAUGACGGCAACUGUCAGAACGCUAUGUAAAAAAAAAAAAAAAACUGCAAGGUUGCCACACACGCAUCUCAUCUCCAAGAAGAAAACAAUCUAGCCGCCCUGGACUCAGUUGUCCGUUCGGUUGGCUGACAUACUGGCAUGUGAUCAGCAAACAUAGUAAGCUCUGAUUGGUUUAAAUGUACAUGUUUUAUGGAACAGCCAAAAAAAAAAAAAAAAAAAAAAGAACAAGUUUGUUGAAUUGAUGCCAUAAAAAAGGCCAAUGCAACAGAAAAUGGACCAAAUCUUAAAGAGCAAGGAAAGAGUUGAGGAGGCUUAUCUAUGAUAUUGUAUUUUAUUUGCUCUGAUGGGGAGGUUCAGAACAUCUUACCUUUCAAUGUGCACUUUGGACUUAUUUUUGUUCAUUCAUGUUAGGCUUCUUAUUCAUUUCCUUAUAAUUAAAAAAAGUAAAUGUUUGCGCGAUCUUCAAAAUAUACAGUAUUCCAUUUCACUGUGCACAAUAUGUCAUUUUUACUUAUUUUUGUGAAUGUAUGUUACUUAUAACAAAAAGUAAAUGUUUACAUAAACUUCAAUUUUAUUGGACAUCCUAUGUUCUUAAGUAGUUGAAAUUGAGAUUUUGCAUUUAGAUGUGAGGGAAUGAGGGAAAAUAAAAAAUACGAGAUGGAGGUCGGGGUUAUUGUUUUUUUUUUUGCAAAUCAUUGAAGCAGUUUUCUUAAUAUUUCAGUGGAUUUAGGAGGGAAAAAAACUCAUACCGGUCAAGUUGUACGGUUUCGGCGUAAUUUGUACAAGUGAGCACUGAUUUUUAAAUGUGUAUGCCGUACAUUCAAAAUCGUUUUUCGUGCAUUACGUUUUUUUUCUCCAUUCGGAUUUUGUCACCUUUUCGGCAACGAGACAAUGCGCAUUAUUAUGCGUUACUAUGUUGGUUGAAUGACAUGAGAAAAGUCAGAGACGGAGAGAGAAGAGCGGGAGUGGGAAAGAGGGAGUUGUGACGCCGUUGCAAACGCGAUGCUAGGCUAGGUGACUCCAAUAAUACCUGACCGGAGCCGACAGCCUACAAACUACGCCCACAUGAUGCCACGCUAUAUAUCACAUGUACUGUAUAUGAACUAGAUGCGAAAUGAUACACUUGCCGGCGUUGGUAAACAGACACCAUCUUAAAGCAGUAGACUUCUCAAAAAGGCUCUGUUGUAGUAUCCUUCCUAGCGAACCUAAGUAACUUUUUAUCUAAAAUACUCCUAAAUCGGCAAAUCUUGACUUGAAUCUAUCUUUAAUUGAUGAAACAGUUUUAAAACUUUGUUAUAGAUUUUUUUGGAGAAGUAAUUUGUAACUGUAAUCAAUUACUUUUUGUAAAGUAAGAUUAACUACACUGGUCAUAAAGAUGCAGUCUGCAGAAUGAAAAGCUAUGCUGUGACGAAUUAGCAAAAGAAAUAUUCCCUGACUCAAAGAUUGCAUCGCUAAGUUAAUUUUAUCAACUGACCUUUUUAAUUUAUAAUUGGACACACUAACAAACUACCUUCAAAUCAAGCUGAAUUGCGAGCUGAAGUGCCAUGAAGUGCAGUCAUCAAAAGACUUGAUAGAAAUGGCCAAAAGUGCUACAUACAAUUAUAACAAAAGUCACUGUUAAAUUUUAGUAAUCAUGAUGGUGCUGAAGAUAUCGAUUGUUCUUUGAUUGCACCAGGUUAUAUGUGACAAUAUUACCAAUGAAUUCAUAUUAUUUUAAAAAUUGAGUUUUAUUUUUGUUUCAUAUUGCACGCUAUAUAAAACGUAAGAUUACUCACCAAUUUGUAAGGGCAUACGUCACUAUUUGUAAGAUUGCCAACGGCCUCUGGUUGACAGGUAUGAAAAACUAAAUGAAUACAUAAUAAUAAAUAAGAAUUCUGACUCCGUGGUGACCUUCAUGUCAGGGGUUUCCAGCAAGAAACCCAAAAUGUUCCUUGAUUUACAAACCAUAACCCUAAAACUGAAAAGCAAACGUUUUACUCGGAUCCUACAUGGUCGCGUUAAGCAUUUAAAGCAGCAACACAAAUAAAUGGCCAGCCAGGUGACCUAUGACAGGCAUUGAAAGAGAAACAAAGUGCCACUGUUUAGUUUUUGAUCGAUAUAUUGUAUGUAAUUAUUUUUCUUAUGUCCACAGAAUGGAUCUGCCUUUACUUGGGUCUCUACACGAACAAAUGAUCAAGCGAGCCACUGUUCAAGAGGGGUGCGUCUUGACUCUUCAAUAAGGGAUUAAACAGCAGUGUUAAGAUUUAAAACAAGAUUUAAGUGCUCACCCUUAGAAACUUACAGCCCAAGGGCUUUGAGGAGGCUGAUGAAGGUAAAGUGCAAAAAGGACAGGAGAUGAGGUGCCCCUGAGACAUGACACCAGGGUGGUGUCGGCGAAAAUGAAGCCAAAGGGCGAUGUGACUAGAGCGGCUCUGCCUCAGAAUGAGAGCGCUUGCUAUUAACUCCCAGCCCGGGGACAUGUGGCAGGAAAUAAGAGUGCACGAAGGCUCCGAUUCACAGUGGCUACACAGUCUGCUGGGACUUAUCAUAAAACACAGGAAAUGCUGUUGGACUCACUAGCUGAUCCAAUUACGAAUCAAGGUUUUUUAGCAUUCAUGUCCAAGUACGACAUCCCUGAGCAAAAAAAAAAAAAAAAAAAAAAAAAUUCCUGACAGCUGGCUGUGACUGGCCAUAUUGGUGGAAGGCUUAAAUGUGCCAGGGAGCAGAUUUUAAUGCAUAGCUGUGCUAAUGGACCUGUCAGGAGUUGAUUCCAGACCGUCAAACUUAAUAUCUCGGUAACUCAAAACAGCCUUUGCUGUUGCGUUUGGUAUCCUCCAAAUUCACGUCGUGGGUUUUUCUGGGUCACUUUGCAAAAUUAUAAGGGAGUCCACAAUGAUGUUGAGGUUACGGACAAAGACCUUUAACUUCUAAAGAAAAGACUGAAAGAUGUAACUGACCCCAAUAAAAACAGCUAAAACAGGAUGCGGUGUUUUGUUUGGUUAGGGUUUUCCAGACUUGAACCCUAUAGAGUGGACCAUCCUUUUUAACAGGGAAAAGGUUGGCAGUAAAACCCCAAAACAACACAAAUGAAAAUGGCAUCAUUGAAAAAUUCCAUCAUAUCAAAGAUUCGUAGUUUACUGACGGAUUAAGGAAUGUGUUGUUGAAUGUGAAACUGCUAUUUGAGUCACCACACUGCUAAAAAUUGAUUAAUUACAUUUUCCCCAUUAAGGACAAGCACAUUUUUGUUUUAGGGGGGUUAAGAACAGGUUGUCAUUCUCAUUAAUUUCACUAGUCAAAUAAGUGUUUUAAAAUACAAGAAUUAUAAUGGAAAACAUUUAACUCCCAGGGUGAUGCUAGUUUUUCCCAAUUUCAAUCAAACAACCAAUUAAUCCAAAGUUUUUAAAUCAAUUGUCCCAUGACGUACAACCCCUGACCCGUGAUGCUUGGCAGCGCAGUAAGUAGAGGUCGCAACCAGGCACUUUAAUAAAUGUGUUAAUUCUGACCGCGGUGGGCAGAGACAAUGCUAAAAUGGGAGACUGGUUCCACACCAUUAAUUUCCGCCGUCUGUCUCGAAGGUGGAAGCGGGGAGAGGGAGACGUGCCGCAGGGGGGAAAUGAAGACCAUACAUCACGCUGAGGCACCCCAGUGAGUCUGACACAGCUUCUGCUCUGCUCAGCUUUAACGGCCACGUCAAUAAUGCUGGCUACUACGCCAGCCUUGAGCUCCCCGUGGGCACCUGAUCCUACAACAACCCAUACGACGACGGCAACAAGCAGAGCUUCGUCUACUUUGACCCCGUGCACCUUUGGGAGAACAUCUAUAGCAGCUUCCACAACAUCGGCUGUAUGGUGCUGUCCAUGUGUCCUGGGACUGAAGAGCCUGAGAGGAUGAGGACGGCCUGAUUCUCGAGCCUGAAGGUGCUGGCUAGGUGGAAGAACUACAAGUCUGUCAAGGCCAGCUACAAGGUGACCCAGAAGGUGCUGGCGCGCUCUUUGAUCGAGAAGCAGAGCGUCGGGCUCAUCAUGGCGGUCGUCAACGCCAACAUGGUCGCCGAGCUGAGGCUCCUCACCACGACCAUGGGAAAGGAGGAACACAGGGACACGGCCAACAUCCUGGAGAUAUUCCAGAGGACAAGGAAAAGCUGGAGAAGGGCCGGGCGGUUCUCAAGCGGCCAUCUCUCGCCAUGGCCCACAUGGCGUCCUUCGGAAUGUCGCUAUGGGACUCCCUGAUGUGCAGGAAGCACAAGAGCUCCAGCUCUUCAGCUGUUUUGGUGCAAACUUCUCCAAGGAUGUAACUUCAGAAGCGAGGAAGAACAAGGCCUUGGAGUGGCCGAUCGGCAGGAAAAGGAGCAGAGUUGAGGAGGGCAGAAAGGAGACGGCGAGGAACAAGAACUUGUACAAGUCGAGGAAGAUGACCAGAAAACGCCAGGCAUAGAAAGAGGCUAUGUGAUCGUUGAAAGACGAGGCUCACAUACUGAUAACACCACAUCAACUACUUGCACUGCCUGAAUUAUAGGAAUAUCUCAUACGCAUUUUAUAUUUAUGUUUAUUUAUAUUUCAUACUUUAUACUUGCAAGUCACUUUUGAGAUUUUAACUUCUUGCAAGUCACUUUUGAGAUUUUAUCUUAUCCUGCACUGUAAAGGGAGAUGCUCCACAAUUUCA
Molecule: long non-coding RNA, 7490 nt
Organism: Corythoichthys intestinalis (scribbled pipefish)
Lineage: Eukaryota; Metazoa; Chordata; Actinopteri; Syngnathiformes; Syngnathidae
Exons: 3
Source: RefSeq, a predicted model, not a curated record